Non-coding RNA from Myodes glareolus (Bank vole), 2768 nucleotides. NCBI's taxonomy places the organism in Eukaryota, Metazoa, Chordata, Mammalia, Rodentia, Cricetidae. The record is from RefSeq and is a predicted model, not a curated record.
CCUGGUUUCCCCAAAUAGGUGGACAUUCACGAAGCACAUGCAUGGUGAACAGAGUGGGGCAUGCUAAUGUUAGUCUCUAGGUAAUUCACAAUGACACCAGUUCCAGUAUCCUAUCCUGGUUUGGCAGAAGAAACCAAAGCACAGAUCCUUAAGCAUACUGCUCCAAGCCACCCAGGGGGGUGUUCACAGCAGUUCUGAGUUUAGAGCACAGUUCUGCACACCUAGUCGGGCAGCAGGUGCUGCUCUUUGUGAGGCCUCACAGUGGCACCAACAAGGGGAGUCAGAAAUCAGUGAUGCUACUGGGUCUUCAGAUGACCACAGAGCUCGCUCACAGUGAAGUCAUCUGGUGAACAAGGCACACUGAAAGUAUGUAAGAUACAUCUAUGUCCUCUGCUCACUCUAAGCACUGUGAGCUGGGGUUUAGUGUUUGAAACAGCUUGCUUCUCUGCCUUUUGAAAGGACAGUCCUAACCUAUUCUAGCAUCAAUGAGCCUGUAUUGCUGCCUGACAUAAAGCACCCUGUACCCCCUCCUGACGGGUGCUGAACUAGCUCACAGCUGGGACUCAACUGUAGCAAGGCAGGGAAAGUUGGGAGUGAGAGAGGCAGUGUCAGGACCCAGCUCUGUAAGUCACCCAUGUAAAUAGAAUGAAUCUCCUCCACUCAGCUAUGCAACACCACCACCAAUCUAAGCCACACUGGGCGAGUUACUCACCUGACAAAGAUCUUCUCCAUCUCUUCCAGCCUGUACACCUCCUUCACCCUGUUGAGUAGAGCAGGUGAGGACAGUUUCCUGGGAUGUUUGUGACAGAGGCCCUAGACCUGCCCUUAUCCUCAGAUUCUCUGAGCCCAGCAGCCCACAAAUGAGGUUGCUGGGCCUGCGGCACUGCUACCCUACUGAUUGCCUAGGCUUCCGAGCUGCUACAUAGCCCUUUGGGCCUGUACAGCAGCUGGGAUUCAGCAGUGAGUCCUGAAGACAGGAGAGGGCAAAGGAAGAUAUGGCAGGCAAACUUUUCUAACACCACCCUUAUUCUCAAGGAACCUUCACUGACACUACAGGUCAGAAAUCCAAAGGCCAGGCUUUAGAUCUUCCUACAGCUGAGUUAUUCUAAAUAGUCUUGGUACUUCUGUUAUUUUGAGGGUGUAGGCUCUAGUUUGAGGCCCAGCCCUCCACAUAUAGAGACCCCAAACCUGCCUUGGGAACUGCACCUGGAUAAGCUGCCUGUUUUAACUAGCAGGCAGGAUGUCAUAUUAGCACAAGCAGAACUCAUGCUGAGGCUGUCUUGCAUCUUCAGUGCUGGAGUUAUUUCUAAGUUUACUUAGAUGAACAUUACCAAUGACUCUGCUAACAUAUCAAUAAGCACUUUACCCUUCAGUGCUGUCUGUAAUAGCCUCUGACCUGGAGAAGGUAGUCUACUCUCUAUCCCUUCCCUCCUCUUGCCCUGAGCCUGGUAUUUUACCCUACCUACGGUUGACAAGCCCCACUCUCCUCAAGCACUGAGUUUCACUCCCCUAACCAUCCUUUCAUAAUCAAAUCCCCAUUCCCUUACUUAUUUCCUUACCCAGAGGCCAUGCAGUCAGUAAAGGAUACUCAAGCAUGAAAGGGCACAUGUGCAUCUCAAAUUAGGAAACCUUAAUCCAUCCUGCCAGGCAGGACAGGGAGCUGCAUCCCCAAACUACUGACAUGGCAGUUUAUCCCCAGGCCCUUCUACAACCCUCCCAUCCCACUGAGGAUAGGAGAAAUAAGCAACAAAGCCACUACCUGAGGGAGUUGGGGAGGGGGGCAUGCUCACCUGAUAGGAUUCAUGUCAGGCCGACUGGGCUUGGAGACCGCUUUCACAAAUUUCUCAGCAAGCUGAAUUCUACAAUCCAAACAGAAUCCUUAGAGGAAAGCCAGGGAACCUCAGUAACAUCUGUGCCCCAAGGCAUUUUCACAGCAUCAGUGGGAGCCUGGACUUAUACAACACUUCCAAGUGGUAGCAUUCAUGUCCCCUGGAUUCUGACCUCUGUGAGCUGCUUUUCCUAAAGUGUGUCUUUUGUUGUGUUCAGUCAUCUCCACUAGGACAUCAAGAACCGUUAUUGUACAUGUCUGCUCUUUCACCUAGCUCAUGUUUCAUGUCUAGCUCAGAUGCGCCAAAUUGCGACUGCCCAAGUUCUGACCACAAUUUUUAGAAGAAACCCUCCCUCUUCUAACAGAGCCACCUUUAUUCAGUCUUUACACAAAAAUGACCGAUCUGAACAACUGUAGCAUGACAAAAUGUGAUGGAAUUGGGCAACCAAAGCCCACACCUCAGCAAACUGCAAUGUAGACCCAUCUUUCCUCCUGCCUUUGGUGGACAUGGGAAGUCCCUCCAUCCCUCCCUCCUCCCCUCCCUCCCCUAGGGCCCAGGCACACCGCUGGUUGAAGUGCUGCUCUCUGACGUCACUGCCAUUCAGCACCAGGACAUCGAGGAUGUGGAUUGCACUGAUCUUCCGCUGGGCCUUCCCCUACAAGGGACAAGCAUGCUCUCCACUGUGCAGAAAAGCAACAGAAGACCUCUGUGAUGCCAACAGAAUGAACACACAAGUGUGGCCAGAAGCUGUCCACAUCUCCAGACAGAGGACCCCACGCCAAUGGGAGGCCAGAAGCUGACUUACCCCCAGGCCCAGGAGGAAUUUCUGCUCGCUGCCGGACACCAUACAACGAUAGUCCAACACGGGACGGAUCUUCUCUAGGGUUUUGGCAGUGAGCAGUGUGGGCUUGUAGCUGAAGAUGUUGAUGUCGGUGUCCU